GUGAAAUUCCGUCGGAAUCCGGGAGGACCAUCUCCCAAGGCUAAAUACUCCCUAGUGACCGAUAGUGAACCAGUACCGUGAGGGAAAGGUGAAAAGCACCCCGGAAGGGGAGUGAAACAGUUCCUGAAACCGUGUGCCUACAAGUAGUUAGAGCCCGUUAAUGGGUGAUAGCGUGCCUUUUGUAGAAUGAACCGGCGAGUUACGAUUUGUUGCAAGGUUAAGCGGAAAAAGCGGAGCCGUAGCGAAAGCGAGUCUGAAUAGGGCGCAUAAGUAACAGGUCGUAGACCCGAAACCAGGUGAUCUACCCAUGUCCAGGAUGAAGGUAAGGUAAUACUUACUGGAGGUCCGAACCCACGCACGUUGAAAAGUGCGGGGAUGAGGUGUGGGUAGCGGAGAAAUUCCAAUCGAACUUGGAGAUAGCUGGUUCUCUCCGAAAUAGCUUUAGGGCUAGCCUCGAGGUAAAGAGUCAUGGAGGUAGAGCACUGUUUGGACUAGGGGCCCUUCUCGGGUUACCGAAUUCAGAUAAACUCCGAAUGCCAUGUACUUAUACUCGGGAGUCAGACUGCGAGUGAUAAGAUCCGUAGUCGAAAGGGAAACAGCCCAGACCACCAGUUAAGGUCCCCAAAUAUAUGU
This 633-nucleotide ribosomal RNA is filed under the name Listeria monocytogenes. Its description in RNAcentral is "partial 23S ribosomal RNA". It matches the Rfam family "Bacterial large subunit ribosomal RNA", at positions 426 to 1059 of the family's 2925-position model. Lineage: Bacteria; Bacillati; Bacillota; Bacilli; Caryophanales; Listeriaceae. The record is from RNAcentral.